Long non-coding RNA from Lathyrus oleraceus (garden pea), 703 nucleotides. RefSeq lists it as uncharacterized. Lineage: Eukaryota; Viridiplantae; Streptophyta; Magnoliopsida; Fabales; Fabaceae. The transcript has 2 exons. The record is from RefSeq and is a predicted model, not a curated record.
CAAAAUGCAAUGAGCACGUGAAGUAUAACGCAAAUGACACUCAGACCAAAAAAGAAUCAAAACACACUCAUUUCUCCCUCAUCCAAUCCUUCGUUUGUUUCGUUUCUCCCUACGUCGUGCCAGAGGCGGUUCUCGGCGGUGGAGGUUCCCAGAAAUCAAAUCACAACCGUCAACUUACUAACAAAGACGCGUUGAGUCCUAAUAUGACCUUGGAUGCUCCUAUUAUCUCAAGAAACAUACGAAUCGUGGAAGAGUCCAAAGAACCUUAAUUAAGAAAAUCUCAAAUUAAAUCGCAAUCAAGCCUCAUCUCGGUCCGAAACCAUGGGGUUAACGGUCCUCAACUCUCCAAUAACGGACUGGUAACAAGAAUUGAAAGGAAAAAGAUAGAAACAAGAAAGUCCUACCGGGAGCAGAUCAGAGAUGAAGAUAUGGAAUGAAUCGAGGUUCUUGUUUUGGAGUGUGGAAUUGCAUUGAAAUGGAUUGCUUGGCUAUGUUUGCUUGAUGGAGAUUUGGAUAUGGACAUUGCUCACUCAUGGAAUGCUUUGAAACUGUUUUGAAGCUAUCAUGUUCAUUGGGAUUGUUUUGUAAUUGGUUUAUGUAGAGUUUAGGCAUGAAUAUUGUAACGUAAUUUGGAAUUUGUUGUAAUGGAAUUGUAAUGGAAUUGGUUGAACAUGAUUUUGAAUAUAUGGUGCAAAUUGAAAGA